Molecule: long non-coding RNA, 1539 nt
Filed under: Pan troglodytes (chimpanzee)
Lineage: Eukaryota; Metazoa; Chordata; Mammalia; Primates; Hominidae
Description: long non-coding RNA NONPTRT009677
Source: RNAcentral
GGCCUGAGGGAGGGACGCAUAUGAACUUCUGGGUUGUGACGUCCUGCUGGCUGGUCAGGGACCUGAAAAGAGCAAGAGGGGAAGAUGGACCUACAGGAGUGGCCACACAAUAUGUGCAUCUCUCUGCCUUGUGUUAAUACUGCAGAGGAGUUGGUGAACAGCAGGAUGGAUGGGAUGUCAGUCAGCCGUGCCCCUGGCUACCCCUGUGCUUGAACAGUGGACUGUGAGUGGCGGCGUCAUGCAGAAGGAGCACAGGGUCCCAGGCCAGCAUCACUAUCCAGGAGCUUCAGGCAUGCUCCGUGUACCAACAUGGGAUCACGAAUCACAUCGCCUCAGGCCAAGAAAGCCAUUUUAUAGCGAAAGAGCCUUAGGAUCUGCUGGAUUAGAGCCUGUUUCCCAGGUAGGAACGCUUCCACGAGGGCACUCCUGCUGGUUGCAGGAAGGAUACCUCUGCUGAGCCUGAAUCUGCAAAGACCACCAGGUUACUCUCAGCUCCUCAUACUGGUGGACCAGCAGGCCACAAAGGAGGGGAUACUUGAUCCUGAUAAACGGUGAGGAGGUAGCGUGGCUGCUGCGUAACGGGGCAAGCAGGCAUUGAUCUGGCACUUAGAGGAUUCAUCUAGGUCUGUCUUGGUGCUUCCAUGCCAAGUAAUGACAAUGAAAAGGUCUUUUCAGCAGCCAUAGCCCCUAAGGGCUCAGAUGCCUCAGGGUGAAGGUCUGGGCGGCGUCACCAGGCAAGCCAUGGAGACAAGCUGGAAUGCUGGUGAGGGUGAGGCCAAGGAGGAGGUGGCUGCUGAAUAUCUGUUACUUGGGAGAAGCUGUAGCAGUGGGGAUUGUAUUUGUUCUGCUAAGCCUCUUGUAUUAAGGCUUUCAUAGGAGUUGUAACUAGCCUUUACUUUGAAGAAUUGUGACAGAGUAGACUCAAUAUUGUAGCUGACUAGCUCUGAGGGGGGCAGGAGAUGGUGUCUUGGCUGAUGCCCUCAGCCCACCUUUAACUGCAGUGGACACAGAGCUGCAUCUCUGCUGUGUGUCUUUGCACUUCCUGCUCCAGGCCUUCUCUGACACCAUGGCGGCCCCCUGAGCCUGUGCCGAGAUUGUGCCACUGCACUCCAGCCUGAGUAACAGAGCUAAACUCCAUCUCAAAAAAAAAAAAAAAAAAAAAAAAAAAAAAAAAAAGGCGAGGGGAAUACAUACAGGAAUGGACUGUGAGGAUACAAAGCCAAGAAUGAAUUGUAGGUUAGUGCAAAUUUAUCAACAUGAGUGCACUUCAAAGAGAAUCUUUGAUUCCGUAUUUUGGCUCAAGGCCUGGGAGUAGUUAUGACCGUGCCUGGGUGGCUGAAUGAAGCCUGGACUCCUUGGUGGUUUACAUUGAUGGGAAGAUGAGAAUGUGGAGUGGAUUUGUGAUGUAUGUGACAUGACCUGGCUGCCACUGUCCUCUCUCUAUCCCUUCAUUAGACCGUUGUGUAAUUUAAAAAAAUAGGUUAUAAAUUUCUUUUCAAGGUAGUAAAGGGGUACAAUCAACAACCCAUGGAACGGGAG